UUGUCGGCUACAAGUCACAGAUACAGGUUCUUCAUCAUCACC
RNAcentral lists this small RNA (42 nucleotides) under Arabidopsis thaliana (thale cress). Its description in RNAcentral is "ATSL107120". Lineage: Eukaryota; Viridiplantae; Streptophyta; Magnoliopsida; Brassicales; Brassicaceae. The record is from RNAcentral.